AGUAGGUAGCUUAACCUUCGGGAGGGCGCUUACCACUUUGUGAUUCAUGACUGGGGUGAAGUCGUAACAAGGUAACCGUAGGGGAACCUGCGGUUGGAUCACCUCCUUACCAAAAAGAUGUGUGUUGAGUGAAGUGCUCACACAGAUUGUCUGAUGAA
This 158-nucleotide ribosomal RNA is filed under the name Pectobacterium betavasculorum. RNAcentral's name for it is "partial 16S ribosomal RNA". The stretch from base 1 to 109 matches the Rfam family "Bacterial small subunit ribosomal RNA", at positions 1425 to 1533 of the family's 1533-position model. Lineage: Bacteria; Pseudomonadati; Pseudomonadota; Gammaproteobacteria; Enterobacterales; Pectobacteriaceae. The record is from RNAcentral.